RNAcentral lists this ribosomal RNA (498 nucleotides) under uncultured bacterium. RNAcentral describes it as "partial 16S ribosomal RNA". It matches the Rfam family "Bacterial small subunit ribosomal RNA", at positions 28 to 507 of the family's 1533-position model. The record is from RNAcentral.
GAUGAACGCUGGCGGCGUGCCUAAUACAUGCAAGUCGAGCGAACAGACGAGGGGCUUGCUCCUCUGUCGUUAGCGGCGGACGGGUGGGUAAAACGUGGAGAACCUACCUUUUAGACGGGGGGAAAAACGGGAAAACGAAGCUAAUACCGCCUAAUAUAAUGAAACAAAUGGUUUAAUAUUGAAAGACGAUUUUUCUGUCACUUAAAGAUGGCUCCGCGUCGUAUUAGUUAGUUGGUGAGGGAAAGGCUUACCCAGGCGAUGAUACGUAGCCGACCUGAGAGGGGGGUCGGCCACAUUGGGACUGAGACACGGCCCAAAACCCUACGGGAGGCAGCAGUAGGGAAUCUUCGGCCAUGGACGAAAGUCUGACCGAGCAACGGCGCGGGAGUGAAGAAGGUUUUCGGAUCGUAAAACUCUGUUGGUAGAGAAGAACGUUGGUGAGAGUGGAAAGCUCAUGAAGUGACGGUAACUAACCAGAAAGGGACGGCUAACUACGUG